RNAcentral lists this ribosomal RNA (402 nucleotides) under bacterium. RNAcentral describes it as "partial 16S ribosomal RNA". It matches the Rfam family "Bacterial small subunit ribosomal RNA", at positions 355 to 776 of the family's 1533-position model. The record is from RNAcentral.
UGGGGAAUUUUGCACAAUGGGGGAAACCCUGAUGCAGCGACGCCGCGUGAUUUAGAAGGCCUUCGGGUUGUAAAAAUCUUUUUUACGGGAUGAAAAUGACAGUACCGUAAGAAUAAGGUCCGGCUAAAUACGUGCCAGCAGCCGCGGUAAUACGUAUGGACCGAGCGUUGUCCGGAAUCAUUGGGCGUAAAGGGUACGUAGGCGGCCUAGUAAGUUAGAAGUGAAAUAAUAUAGCUCAACUAUAUAAAGCUUUUAAAACUGCUAGGCUUGAGAGAUGGAAGGGAAAGUGGAGUUCCUAGUGUAGCGGUGAAAUGCGCAGAUAUUAGGAAGAAUACCGGUGGCGAAGGCGACUUUCUGGUCAUCAUCUGACGCUGAGGUACGAAAGCGUGGGUAGCAAACAGG